Molecule: ribosomal RNA, 374 nt
Filed under: uncultured organism
Description: partial 16S ribosomal RNA
Rfam family: Bacterial small subunit ribosomal RNA
Source: RNAcentral
GUAGGUGGGCAAGCGUUGUCCGGAAUUAUUGGGCGUAAAGCGCGCGCAGGGCGGUCCUUUAAGUCUGAUGUGAAAGCCCACGGCUCAACCGUGGAGGGUCAUUGGAAACUGGGGGACUUGAGUACAGAAGAGGAAAGCGGAAUUCCAAGUGUAGCGGUGAAAUGCGUAGAGAUUUGGAGGAACACCAGUGGCGAAGGCGGCUUUCUGGUCUGUAACUGACGCUGAGGCGCGAAAGCGUGGGGAGCAAACAGGAUUAAAUACCCUGGUAGUCCACGCCGUAAACGAUGAGUGCUAAGUGUUAGGGGGUUUCCGCCCCUUAGUGCUGCAGCUAACGCAUUAAGCACUCCGCCUGGGGAGUACGGCCGCAAAGGCUG